This 232-nucleotide long non-coding RNA is filed under the name Capsicum annuum. Its description in RNAcentral is "long non-coding RNA (CANN_LNC020212)". The record is from RNAcentral. Lineage: Eukaryota; Viridiplantae; Streptophyta; Magnoliopsida; Solanales; Solanaceae.
CCAGACUUGCAAGUCAUUCAUAUCGCACUAUAACAUGUCUAUAGCCCCUUUUUAUUUUUCGUCAUGUUAAUGGCCACCCAAAUGCUUUAAACAUCAUGUGAGAGAGAGUCUUGCUAUAGAUUUUUAUAUGAGUUCACACAAAAAGACUCUCUUCUUAAUAUUACAACCAUAUGGUGGCCAUCUCAUGUUUGCAUUUACUUAAAACUCAUGAAAUCCUUUAAUUAAUACAAUG